This 224-nucleotide unclassified non-coding RNA is filed under the name plant metagenome. RNAcentral's name for it is "partial contains small subunit ribosomal RNA, internal transcribed spacer 1, and 5.8S ribosomal RNA". The record is from RNAcentral.
UCUCCGUUGGUGAACCAGCGGAGGGAUCAUUAUAGGACUCGCAAGACUCCUUCACCCUGUGAACCUCACUACAAGCACGUUGCUUCGGCGGGUGUCCCGGCGGGGGUUUUCCCUCGCCAGGGCGCACAGCCCGCCGGCAGCCUACUAUACUCUGUCUCUUUGCGUUGGCAUCUCGAGAAAAAACAAACAAGUUAAAACUUUCAACAACGGAUCUCUUGGUUCUG